Molecule: ribosomal RNA, 1881 nt
Filed under: Klebsiella pneumoniae
Lineage: Bacteria; Pseudomonadati; Pseudomonadota; Gammaproteobacteria; Enterobacterales; Enterobacteriaceae
Description: partial 23S ribosomal RNA
Rfam family: Bacterial large subunit ribosomal RNA
Source: RNAcentral
GGUACAGGGUGAUAGUCCCGUACACCAAAAUGCACAGGCUGUGAACUCGAAGAGUAGGGCGGGACACGUGGUAUCCUGUCUGAAUAUGGGGGGACCAUCCUCCAAGGCUAAAUACUCCUGACUGACCGAUAGUGAACCAGUACCGUGAGGGAAAGGCGAAAAGAACCCCGGCGAGGGGAGUGAAAAAGAACCUGAAACCGUGUACGUACAAGCAGUGGGAGCACCUUCGGGUGUGACUGCGUACCUUUUGUAUAAUGGGUCAGCGACUUAUAUUCUGUAGCAAGGUUAACCGUAUAGGGGAGCCGCAGGGAAACCGAGUCUUAACUGGGCGUUAAGUUGCAGGGUAUAGACCCGAAACCCGGUGAUCUAGCCAUGGGCAGGUUGAAGGUUGGGUAACACUAACUGGAGGACCGAACCGACUAAUGUUGAAAAAUUAGCGGAUGACUUGUGGCUGGGGGUGAAAGGCCAAUCAAACCGGGAGAUAGCUGGUUCUCCCCGAAAGCUAUUUAGGUAGCGCCUCGUGAACUCAUCUUCGGGGGUAGAGCACUGUUUCGGCUAGGGGGUCAUCCCGACUUACCAACCCGAUGCAAACUACGAAUACCGAAGAAUGUUAUCACGGGAGACACACGGCGGGUGCUAACGUCCGUCGUGAAGAGGGAAACAACCCAGACCGCCAGCUAAGGUCCCAAAGUCAUGGUUAAGUGGGAAACGAUGUGGGAAGGCACAGACAGCCAGGAUGUUGGCUUAGAAGCAGCCAUCAUUUAAAGAAAGCGUAAUAGCUCACUGGUCGAGUCGGCCUGCGCGGAAGAUGUAACGGGGCUAAACCAUGCACCGAAGCUGCGGCAGCGACACUAUGUGUUGUUGGGUAGGGGAGCGUUCUGUAAGCCUGCGAAGGUGUGCUGUGAGGCAUGCUGGAGGUAUCAGAAGUGCGAAUGCUGACAUAAGUAACGAUAAAGCGGGUGAAAAGCCCGCUCGCCGGAAGACCAAGGGUUCCUGUCCAACGUUAAUCGGGGCAGGGUGAGUCGACCCCUAAGGCGAGGCCGAAAGGCGUAGUCGAUGGGAAACAGGUUAAUAUUCCUGUACUUGGUGUUACUGCGAAGGGGGGACGGAGAAGGCUAUGUUAGCCGGGCGACGGUUGUCCCGGUUUAAGCAUGUAGGCUGGUUAUCCAGGCAAAUCCGGAUAAUCAAGGCUGAGGUGUGAUGACGAGGCACUACGGUGCUGAAGUAACAAAUGCCCUGCUUCCAGGAAAAGCCUCUAAGCAUCAGGUAACAUCAAAUCGUACCCCAAACCGACACAGGUGGUCAGGUAGAGAAUACCAAGGCGCUUGAGAGAACUCGGGUGAAGGAACUAGGCAAAAUGGUGCCGUAACUUCGGGAGAAGGCACGCUGGUGUGUAGGUGAAGUCCCUGCGGAUGGAGCUGAGACCAGUCGAAGAUACCAGCUGGCUGCAACUGUUUAUUAAAAACACAGCACUGUGCAAACACGAAAGUGGACGUAUACGGUGUGACGCCUGCCCGGUGCCGGAAGGUUAAUUGAUGGGGUUAUCCGUAAGGAGAAGCUCUUGAUCGAAGCCCCGGUAAACGGCGGCCGUAACUAUAACGGUCCUAAGGUAGCGAAAUUCCUUGUCGGGUAAGUUCCGACCUGCACGAAUGGCGUAAUGAUGGCCAGGCUGUCUCCACCCGAGACUCAGUGAAAUUGAACUCGCUGUGAAGAUGCAGUGUACCCGCGGCAAGACGGAAAGACCCCGUGAACCUUUACUAUAGCUUGACACUGAACAUUGAGCCUUGAUGUGUAGGAUAGGUGGGAGGCUUUGAAGCGUGGACGCCAGUCUGCGUGGAGCCAACCUUGAAAUACCACCCUUUAAUGUUUGAUGUUCUAACG